AGUCCUCAUCGCUUACCACGCCGUAACUAGGGUCUUCUUCUUCUUCUAACGCCUGGUAUCUAAAUUUUUUUUCUCUGUUAUCUGUCAGCAUCAAUGGCGCCUCGAGUAAUUGGAUUACUGAAAUCGAGUUGCAGAAUCUCUUUGUUUGUCUCCAAUAGUCCAAUCGCGUCUUAUAGCCUUCUCUUCUAAUAAUCCGAAACGUUCCGAGUUAUUCAUCGCAUUUAUCACCUUAUUAACUCCAUAGGCGACGUGAACCACGAUCUGACUUUAAUUGUGAGUUAUACCUCUGAACUACACCUAUAAAAAGCCUGGCCGAGGCUCCUCCACCGUCCAAGUGCCGUUGCUCAGGUUCUGGAAAGCCAGAAAUGUCCGAGUGGAGGGGAACUGAUGUCUCUUGAUAUGCUCUUACUGGCUUCAAAGGCCGUUUGUUCCUUAAUGCAACUUCAGGAACACACAUUUAUUUCGAUAAGGAGACUAAUGUUAGGAGAGGUCCUCUUCUACAAACACUGGGCUUCAGUCAGUAGCUCCGCUUCUGAAAGGAUAUGCCACGGUUGAGAAUCUGACCAUAUCCGAGCUUAAUGAGUUUGUCAUAGCUGCACUGUCUCAGGACAUCGAUUUCAUGUGUUCUGGGAAAGUGUUGAUUUAGGAACUGAUAAAUUUAAAAAGAAAUGUUCCUAAAUGUUGCAUAAUGAGAGAUAUGCAAUGUGAUUAAAUUUGUUAAACUUGCGGGAUUAUAAGUCGACACAAAAAUACACAAACCAUUUAAUUAUUAGUCACUUAUUGAUGAGUUAACUCAGUGCUACACUGACAAAAAACAUCACAACAUCUCGUAGAACAGAGGCCUUCUCUAUGAUACGGGACAUGCAUAGAUGUCCUACAUGUUGAUGUAUUAGCUAAGAAAGCUAGGAUAAGCAGGCAAAACUGCCUUUUUCAAAAGAAAAGAAAAAACAAAUAGUUGCACAAAAAAGAAUAAAAGGAAAAGAUUAACCAAUUUAAAAAAAAGGAAAGUUUCACCGCCAAAGGUGUGUCUGGUCCCGCCGAGAGUUCUGUUUCAGUCAACCACCGUAUGUUCGAUUGAACGGUUUGCAUCUGGUGACUCUGAGACUUUGACCUCUCCGCGAUUUUCUUGGCUUCGCUUUUGUUUUGUCCAAACUCUUUAUGAAGAAGCAGAGUGUUGGUUAGUGAUUCUGGGGAUGUUCUACGUUUUCUGACUUGGUAAAAGUAUUUGGGUUUCAAGGCAUUGAGCAAAGGGUCUUUAAUGGCUUCCCGGAUUAACAGACUCGGCCUUCUGGUCGUUGAAGGAGAUAUCGACUGUGACGUUUGAUGGAAGCUUUUCUGCAAAACUUUGAGGAAAUCACGCCUGAGACUUUGUUCUGUGAUAAUGCAAGCUUCGCCCUCCUAGACCCCGAGGAAAAGAGCCGUUCAGAAGAUUUGAAGAAAGAUCAAGAACUUGUACUGCUUCAAAACAUCACCUGAAAAGGAGUUCUUUGCCAAGAAGGUGUUUGUUGGGGACUACCAAUCUUGUGACUGUUAAUAUGUCUUGUGUGUGUUGGGCUGCCCAAGAUCUGAACACGUGAUACCUGUCCACAAAGCAUGAUGUUUCAUCAUCAUAGUUUCAGUUGCGUACAACAAAGAGAGAGAGAGUCACUGAAGGAUAAGAGUAUUUGAAAAGAUAGCAGGAGAACACCAUCAAUGCUGAGGGCUUGGGAGUUUUCUGGAGGCUAGAAGAAGGCGAAAGAGGAAUAAUGAGAAAAGGUUGCUUCGGUUGGAAGUCAUAGUUUCUCAGUUCUAGGUAUCUAUCUCUCCUUCUUGCAUUAAUAAAUAACUAGUUACUCUUGUUCUAGUUACACAAACCAACCUUGUCCUUUGUGGAUCCACGUUUCUUCAUGUAAGACCAUAACACAGCGAACUGGUAAGUCUUCUGACAGAACCUCCAAAGGUUGAGCUGGCUCUGUGACUAGCUCAUGAAAAUAUUCUGUCUUCCCAGAAACUUCUCUGUACGAUCUUGCCAAUGAAACCCCCAUAUAUAUAUAGCAAAAACCUUCUGCAGCCUGGAAUGGGGUGUGAUGCGCAACAUAGGUAACUCUGUCCUUGACCUAUUCUAGCACCACUAGAACCAUAUAAACGAGCGCACAUUUUCUGUAGAAUUCUUUCAGUAUCUUUUUUUCUUGGCUUCCCAUUCCAUAGACUUGCAGUACCAUAAGCUUAUUAUACCCAAGGAGCAAAGAAGAGUCUAGUGAUUCGUUGUGGUGUGUCUAAGAUUAGGUUCCAAGGGGAGGACAUGUACCAGCUUGCUUCAAACUCUCAAAGACUCUGUAACUAACCUGACCCGACUGAAAGUAGCCAUUUUGGCCACGGAGAAUAAGUUGUCCUGUAAUAUUCAGUGGCUGCUCAUCAUUAUGCCUUGAAAGUAGGGAUCUGAUCUUUGAUAGGAUCUGCGCACAAAAAGAAAGCACUUUGAGAUCUGUUAGAUGGUUUUCUAAUAGUUUUCUUUAGCACACUUUUGGCGUUAAAAUAAAUUAUGUUCUUACUCUUUUAGAAUGGCAUUCCAUCUUAUUAUUUCA
Brassica oleracea var. oleracea is the source of this 2564-nucleotide long non-coding RNA. RefSeq lists it as uncharacterized. The record is from RefSeq and is a predicted model, not a curated record. The transcript is spliced from 5 exons. Lineage: Eukaryota; Viridiplantae; Streptophyta; Magnoliopsida; Brassicales; Brassicaceae.